GACGAACGCUGGCGGCGUGCUUAACACAUGCAAGUCGAACGGUGAAGCUCCAGCUUGCUGGAGUGGAUCAGUGGCGAACGGGUGAGUAACACGUGAGCAACCUGCCCCUGACUCUGGAAUAAGCGCUGGAAACGGCGUCUAAUACUGGAUACGAGAAGGGUCCGCAUGGGCACUUUCUGGAAAGUUUUUCGGUUGGGGAUGGGCUCGCGGCCUAUCAGCUUGUUGGUGAGGUAAUGGAUGACCAAGGCGAGGGAGGGUAGCCGGCCUGUGAGGGCGGCCGGCGACACUGGGACUGAGACACGGCGCAGACUCCUACGGGAGGCAGCAGUGGGGAAUAUUGCACAAUGGGCGAAAGCCUGAUGCAGCGACGCCGCGUGAGGGAUGACGGCCUUCGGGUUGUAAACCUCUUUCAGCAGGGAAGAAGCGAAAGUGACGGUACCUGCAGAAGAAGCACCGGCUAACUACGUG
RNAcentral lists this ribosomal RNA (468 nucleotides) under uncultured bacterium. RNAcentral's name for it is "partial 16S ribosomal RNA". It matches the Rfam family "Bacterial small subunit ribosomal RNA", at positions 28 to 507 of the family's 1533-position model. The record is from RNAcentral.